This 68-nucleotide transfer RNA is filed under the name Hylaeus dilatatus. RNAcentral's name for it is "tRNA-Asp". The record is from RNAcentral. Lineage: Eukaryota; Metazoa; Arthropoda; Insecta; Hymenoptera; Colletidae.
AAAAAAUUAGUUAAUAUAUUUAUAACAUUAAAAUGUCAUUUUAAAAUAAUUAAUUUUAAUAUUUUUUA